Molecule: long non-coding RNA, 221 nt
Filed under: Eucalyptus grandis
Lineage: Eukaryota; Viridiplantae; Streptophyta; Magnoliopsida; Myrtales; Myrtaceae
Description: long non-coding RNA (EGRA_LNC000265)
Source: RNAcentral
CUCCAUCGUCUCUGCCCACCAUCCAAGAAGGCGAAAUCCCCAUCGCCGGUGAGAGGGCUGCCGCCGCCUUCGUCGUGCAAUCUCAAUUCCAACCGCACAAGUACCGCCCUUUCUCUCUCUGUCUCUCUCCUCUCGUCCUUCGCCAUUUCUUCCUCGCCCGUGCUUACCGUGUUCUUUUUCUACUUAUAGCUCUAUCGUCUCUGCCCACCAUCCAAGAAGGC